This 1112-nucleotide long non-coding RNA is filed under the name Monodelphis domestica (gray short-tailed opossum). Its description in RNAcentral is "lncRNA (ENSMODG00000044329.1)". Lineage: Eukaryota; Metazoa; Chordata; Mammalia; Didelphimorphia; Didelphidae. The record is from RNAcentral.
AUAAGGAAAUUGAGGCCAAAGGAAAUAAAAUUACUGGCUUACAGUCACGUGGUGAUGAAUGGAAAAGCUUGGAUUUGAACUAUCAACCGAAGACUUGAAAUUCAAAAAAAACUCUCUUUGAAUGAGUCAAUCCGGAAAUUCCUUGAAGAGGAUGUUGUCAACAUGAAUGAUGAUGCAGCAAAGAAGAUUGAGGGGAAGUAAUAGAGACAUUUAUGGGCAAUCUAAAUUGUGUAGCAGAUUUGGGCACUCAAGCUGUGACUUGACUUACUUGAAUCUGCUCUAUGAUUUGCAAAAUGGGAGCUGAGGAAGUAUCAAAAGAUGUUACAAAAAAGCCAUCAAGAAUAUAUAUAUAUCCAAGGGAAAGAAGAGGAAAAAUCAGUAAACUUGAUGAACACAUUGACAAAGUUUGAAAUGAUAGAAGUACCUCUAUUCCUGGAUUUCCCAAAUUGUGUGCUCUACCAGCAUUCCUGUGAUCUUGUCAUCGAACAAAAGGAUUUAAGGGGAGCAAUUCGAACUAGACAAAGAUUUGAAGGAGGAAGAAAGAAAGGAUUCCUGAUUCAUAUGACAGUCCCUCUGUACAUUAUCAUUGAAGCCCUUACUGCUCUUCUGUCUUCAAGCCAAUACCCAGUAUUGAUUCUAAGAUGGAAGAUACUGCACGAAGUAUUGAAGAUUCUGAGACCAAAAGAAAAAACAGUCACCUUCCCGCAGGGAAAUUUCAUUCUACUGGAGGAAACAGUAUGACCAUAUAGAAAUAAAUAAAGCAAGAGAGAUGAGAAGCAGCACUUCAAGGAUUCAGUCCUUUUUGUUGUUGAUAUGAUGUGUAGCAAAAUGGUUUGGUGAAUAUAAUGUUGGACAUGAAGCCAGGAACCCCAAGUUCAGAUAUCACCACAAAAUCCUGCUAGCUCUGUGCUGGGUAAGUCAUUUUCCCUCUGCUUGCCCCAGUUUACUUCAUCUAAUAAUAGCACCCACCUCCAAGGACUAUUGUGAGGAUAAAGCUACAUCUUAUUUGUAAAGCCCUAUCUAAACCUUAAAGUACUAUAUAAACGACAUUCUUAUUAUCUUUGCUCUAAUUGUUGUUACCCUCUCCUUUCUGAUUCACACUAUUCUCAAUU